This 788-nucleotide ribosomal RNA is filed under the name Meloe cavensis. RNAcentral's name for it is "partial large subunit ribosomal RNA". The stretch from base 1 to 576 matches the Rfam family "Bacterial large subunit ribosomal RNA", at positions 1830 to 2925 of the family's 2925-position model. Lineage: Eukaryota; Metazoa; Arthropoda; Insecta; Coleoptera; Meloidae. The record is from RNAcentral.
GUCUUUUUGUUAAUUAUUUAAGGUUUGGCCUGCUCCAUGAUUAAAUUAAAUAGCCGCAGUAUAUUGACUGUGCAAAGGUAGCAUAAUCAUUAGUUUUUUAAUUGAAAGCUGGAAUGAAGGGCUGGAUGAGAAAGAAUCUGUCUCAUUUUAAUUUUAUUUGAAUUUUAUUUUUAAGUUAAAAAGCUUAAAUUUUAUAGGAAGACGAGAAGACCCUAUAGAGUUUAAUAAGUUGGAAUUUGAUUGCUUGAGGGUUUUAAUGUGAUUAUUUUUUUGCUUGUUUGGUUGGGGUGACGUAAGAAUUGAACAAACUUCUUAUAAUUUUAACAUUGAUUUAUGAAUAGAUGAUCCUGAAUUUUGGAUUUAAAGAUAAAAUUACCUUAGGGAUAACAGCGUAAUCUUUUUGGAGAGUUCAAAUCGAUAAAGAGGAUUGCGACCUCGAUGUUGGAUUAAAGUUAAGUUUUGGUGCAGAAGCUAAAAUUUUGAGUCUGUUCGACUCUUGAAACUUUACAUGAUCUGAGUUUAAACCGGCGUGAGCCAGGUUGGUUUCUAUCUUUUAUAGAUAAAAUAUUUUAGUACGAAAGGACCAGAUAUUUAAAUAAUAUUUUCUAUUGGAAUAGGAUUGUUAUCUUGGCAGAUUAGUGCAAUGGAUUUAGAAUCUUUAUAUGUAAUAGAUUACAGGUAACAAUUUAUUUUAUUGAUUUGGUUGUAUUGUUUAUUUCGGCGUUGAUUUUGGUUGUAUGUGUUUUAGUGGGAGUGGCUUUUCUAACACUUUUAGAGCGUAAAGUUUU